UGGAUGCUACAACAAUUUCAAUUGGAUGCAUUUAGUGCAGAAAUGGUGAUUCAUUUAGUGCAGGUUGUGAUUUCCGUUUUGUUAGCUAGUAGCAUUGAUUUAUCCUUAGGCAUAAGCGGUGAUUGAUGGGAAGAAAGGAUGUCACGGUGUGGCUUGGAGGAAGCAGCACAAUGUUUUUAAUUCUUGGGAGGAGCACCCACGCUGCC
RNAcentral lists this long non-coding RNA (206 nucleotides) under Vigna radiata. RNAcentral describes it as "long non-coding RNA (VRAD_LNC005168)". The record is from RNAcentral. Lineage: Eukaryota; Viridiplantae; Streptophyta; Magnoliopsida; Fabales; Fabaceae.